UGGGGAAUUUUGGACAAUGGGCGAAAGCCUGAUCCAGCAAUGCCGCGUGUGUGAAGAAGGCCUUCGGGUUGUAAAGCACUUUUGUCCGGAAAGAAAUCCUUGGCUCUAAUACAGUCGGGGGAUGACGGUACCGGAAGAAUAAGCACCGGCUAACUACGUGCCAGCAGCCGCGGUAAUACGUAGGGUGCAAGCGUUAAUCGGAAUUACUGGGCGUAAAGCGUGCGCAGGCGGUUUGCUAAGACCGAUGUGAAAUCCCCGGGCUCAACCUGGGAACUGCAUUGGUGACUGGCAGGCUAGAGUAUGGCAAGGAGGGGGGUAGAAUUCCACGUGUAGCAGUGAAAUGCGUAGAGAUGUGGAGGAAUACCGAUGGCGAAGGCAGCCCCCUGGGCCAAUACUGACGCUCAUGCACGAAAGCGUGGGGAGCAAAACAGGAUUAGAUACCCCUGGUAGUCCACGCCCUAAAACGAUGUCAACUAGUUGUUGGGGAUUCAUUUCCUUAGUAACGUAGCUAACGCGUGAAGUUGACCGCCUGGGGAGUACGGUCGCAAAGAUUAAAACUCAAAGGAAUUGACGGGGUCAUAGCUG
RNAcentral lists this ribosomal RNA (585 nucleotides) under uncultured bacterium. RNAcentral's name for it is "partial 16S ribosomal RNA". It matches the Rfam family "Bacterial small subunit ribosomal RNA", at positions 355 to 932 of the family's 1533-position model. The record is from RNAcentral.